GAGAGUAACUGCUCGUACCUUGACGGUACCUAACCAGAAAGCCACGGCUAACUACGUGCCAGCAGCCGCGGUAAUACGUAGGUGGCAAGCGUUAUCCGGAAUUAUUGGGCGUAAAGCGCGCGCAGGCGGUUUCUUAAGUCUGAUGUGAAAGCCCACGGCUCACCCGUGGAGGGUCAUUGGAAACUGGGGAACUUGAGUGUCAGAAGAGAAAAGCGGAAUUCCACGUGUAGCGGUGAAAUGCGUAUAGAUGUGGAGGAACACCAGUGGCGAAGGCGGCUUUUUGGUCUGUAACUGACGCUGAGGCGCGAA
This 309-nucleotide ribosomal RNA is filed under the name Priestia sp. Its description in RNAcentral is "bacterial SSU rRNA". It matches the Rfam family "Bacterial small subunit ribosomal RNA", at positions 449 to 757 of the family's 1533-position model. Lineage: Bacteria; Bacillati; Bacillota; Bacilli; Caryophanales; Bacillaceae. The record is from RNAcentral.